This is a long non-coding RNA of Bubalus bubalis (water buffalo), 1062 nucleotides long. RefSeq lists it as uncharacterized. The transcript is spliced from 2 exons. Lineage: Eukaryota; Metazoa; Chordata; Mammalia; Artiodactyla; Bovidae. The record is from RefSeq and is a predicted model, not a curated record.
CCUGUGAUAAAAUUCCGAACCCCAGCAGGGCCUACACGGCUGGGCUACUGCCCUUCUCUCAAGACUCACCUGGUACCACUCUCUCACCUCACCACACUCCUCCGUGAUCUCUUGACCUCAAACAGGCCCAGCUUAGGCCGCUGACUGCCUUUGCUUUUCUCUCUUUCUGGGAUGUUUUCCCAGCGGCUGGCUUCUUAUCAUUUAGUUCACUCAGUCUCCAGCUCAAAGGUUACUUUUUCUAAGGGAAUUUUCUGAAGGAACCCCACACAGCUGGCUCUCUAUCACUUUAUCCUGCUUCAUAUUUUUCACAGGAAUCAUCAUGCCCUAGAAUCAUCUGAUCAUCUCUCUCCCUCCUUACAGUAUAAACUGCCCUGGAGUUGCAAUCAUGUCUUUCUUAUUCACCGCUCUAUUCCCCUCAUCUAGAAUAGUGCUUGGUGCCUACUAGGUGCUCAAGAGCCUUUCCUGAAUACAUAAAGGAAUGAAUGAGUGAUAAUAGUGUUUAACCAACAUUGAACAGCAUUUGGUGUUUUGAGGAGUCCUUUCACUUCCAUUACCUGGCAGCAUCCCCAUGAAAGUCUGUGAGCAGCAAUUCCCUCGCUGACAAAGACCUGGACGUGACCUCGAAUAUCUGCAGCUUGGAAAAUGUUACACGGAGCCACAGAUGACUUCAGGCAGGAGUUCCAGGGCCUGAUGAACAGCUACCUCUGGACCGUGACUGUCAGUGCCUUUUCCUGAAAGCCUCACCUGCCCCCAGGACUCUAGCCACUGAAAAGGACCCAAGCUACGAAACUGCCAUCAAUGAAGAAUGAAAACACCAUUUUGGCUUUUCCAAACUAAUGGCUCUGGCUAAUCUUAAUCCAACUCCAGUGCCCGUUCACCUUGAAGAUGUUUCCAAGCCUCUUGUCCCUAAGGAAUUAUUCUCUCACGCCUCUCCUGCAUCUCUAUUACGUUGGUGGUCAUGUUCUGUCCACCUGAUUCCACACAACAGGGAACAGAAGGCUUUGCCCUCUAUUUUGUGUCCUCUUAUCUCAGAGUCCCCUUUGAGUUUUCCUUCUUCCACCC